GAUCGACGCUGGCGGCGUGCAUAACACAUGCAAGUCGAACGAUGAAGCUUAAAAGAUUUCUUCGGAAUGAACUUAAUUGGAUUAGUGGCGGACGGGUGAGUAACGCGUGAGUAACCUGCCUUGUACAAGGGGAUAGCCGUUGGAAACGACGAAUAAUACCCUAUGACAUCAAAUAAUCGCAUGAUAAUUUGAUCAAAGAUUUAUCGGUAUAAGAUGGACUCGCGUCUGAUUAGCUAGUUGGUAGAGUAAAAGCCUACCAAGGCAACGAUCAGUAGCCGGCUUGAGAGAGUGUACGGCCACAUUGGGACUGAGACACGGCCCAGACUCCUACGGGAGGCAGCAGUGGGGAAUUUUGCACAAUGGGGGAAACCCUGAUGCAGCGACGCCGCGUGAUUUAGAAGGCCUUCGGGUUGUAAAAAUCUUUUGUAUGGGAAGAAAAUGACAGUACCAUACGAAUAAGGACCGGCUAAUUACGUG
Molecule: ribosomal RNA, 477 nt
Filed under: uncultured bacterium
Lineage: Bacteria
Description: partial 16S ribosomal RNA
Rfam family: Bacterial small subunit ribosomal RNA
Source: RNAcentral